GAAAUGGAUGAAAUGAAAGAGCUACUACCAUUUAUUGAAUGUUGAAUAUGUGCUAAUCACUGGACAAGGAGGCUUGUGCCUUUGUGAUUAGCACAUACAAGGAUCAUAUAAAUGUAAUCAUCUCAAUUCCUCUGUGAAGUACGUCUUUUUACCUCCAGAAGGACUUAAGAUUCAGAGAGGGUAAGAGGCUUGCCCAAAGACCGCAGCUACCAGGUGACAGAUCAGAAUUCAAAUGCAGGACGACGGCAAGAUGCUUACUAGCAGAUCAUUUUAAACGAGCAUGCCUGGCACGCAGUAAGCACUCCGUAAGUAGUGUCGUCUGCUACCACUGGUGUUCUUAGAAAGGCUCUGGCCCAACCCUAUCCUAGAAUCAUCACUCCAUUGCAGGCUUGACACUGGAACCAACUCUUUGCUCUGGAAUUAGGUCAAAUCAUUGCUGGCUUCAGGCCCUUCUCCAUUAAAAAACGUACCCAUGGAGAUAAUGAAUGCACUGAAUUUCUACCAGUCAUUACGCCUUGGUGUCAAUCAGAAGGAAUGUCCCAUAGGAAGGCUAGGACUGGGCAUUCCUCUCUACCUAUCACAUGAUUCGAUGAGCACAGGGUGCUGUGGUUUGAUGUAUAGAGUCUGCCUUUCUUAAAGGAGCCCUGAUUGUGGCCUGGAGGGGCCUAUGUGACAUGAUUCCCGUGAGGCCAGCCUAGCAGAGGGCAGGAUGGCUAUCUCUCUACUGUGGCUACAGCUGCCUUUGGAGCUUUCUCAGGAAUCCCGGGUGUCCACUGAUUGAACAAAUGUACACAAACACAGCAGAGCCUGCUCCUGCCAGAAACAGACUCAAAGCUACAGCGACCAGUCCCAGAAAAGUUCCCCCAGGCCAGCUCAACUCCCACCAGCAGGGGUCACACCUGAGCAGCCAGAAGGGUGAGGGGCCCUGAUAGUCUGGCCUACCAACCAGCAAACCUUUGUAUGCUGCGGGUGAGGUCCAUACUCAGUCAGCACAUGGAAGGGGAACUGGAGGAGAACAUUAAGCUGAGAGGAGGUCCUGGUGGGCUGGGGCCAACUCCCCAGGAGCAGAGGAAGCAGCCAGCAGCCUGGAUGGGCAGAGGCUCCGACUCCCUCUCUCCCAGAAGCUGCCCGCCCCCUCUUCCCCCCUGCUUUUGCAAAGUUUUCUGAGUUCCAUCUGCAGUACUCUGACCUGAGGGCACCUCUACAGCUGGGCCCAGAGGGACUGAAGCUGCUACUAGCAUGGCACGGUCCUGGGAGCUUUGAGGACACCCACAGAGACAGACGGUGCACACCGAGGGUUCCGCUGCUCAGGAACAGGCAUGGAGAAGAAAGUUGCACUUAGAAGCCCAACAGGAGUUUUGCAAGACAAAAGUUUAAUGAAAGGAGAGAAGAGCACAGAAACUGAAGGUAGGCCCCUUCCUUACAUUUGCUUAUCAGCUCAGAAGCAGAGCUCAGAGACAGCAGCCGCCAGAGGAUCUGGGAGCUGACUUUACUCUUACUGUAAAUCUACCUUCCCACAUUUUCCUGCCUUUUGGAAGCCUGAAGAUACUCUCCUCUUUGUCUUGUCAUUGAAUAGAAUUUAUGGCUCUUUGUUAAAAUACUAUUUAAGCAAGGCCUCUAAAGCCGCUGCCUUGAGAGAGAAAAAGAGUUUUGAACUGAGGCCUCUUCUGUGUGAUGGGUACAGCACAUGUUAAUAAACUUCUGCUUGUUUUUCUUUUGUUAGUCUGACUUUUGUUUUCAGGAGUGUAUCUCAACUUAGAACCAAAAAAGAUAAAGAAAAGAAAUGUUUUCUCC
RNAcentral lists this long non-coding RNA (1794 nucleotides) under Homo sapiens (human). Its description in RNAcentral is "HSALNT0181211". Lineage: Eukaryota; Metazoa; Chordata; Mammalia; Primates; Hominidae. The record is from RNAcentral.